RNAcentral lists this ribosomal RNA (1054 nucleotides) under Tomato big bud phytoplasma. RNAcentral describes it as "bacterial SSU rRNA". It matches the Rfam family "Bacterial small subunit ribosomal RNA", at positions 145 to 1195 of the family's 1533-position model. Lineage: Bacteria; Bacillati; Mycoplasmatota; Mollicutes; Acholeplasmatales; Acholeplasmataceae. The record is from RNAcentral.
AACAAUUGGAAACGGUUGCUAAGACUGGAUAGGAAACAAAAAGGCAUCUUUUUGUUUUUAAAAGACCUUCUUAUGAAGGUAUGCUUAAAGAGGGGCUUGCGCCACAUUAAUUAGUUGGAAGGGUAAAAGCCUACCAAGACGAUGAUGUGUAGCUGGACUGAGAGGUUGAACAGCCACAUUGGGACUGAGACACGGCCCAAACUCCUACGGGAGGCAGCAGUAGGGAAUUUUCGGCAAUGGAGGAAACUCUGACCGAGCAACGCCGCGUGAACGAUGAAGUAUUUCGGUAUGUAAAGUUCUUUUAUUGAAGAAGAAAAAGUAGUGGAAAAACUAUAUUGACGUUAUUCAAUGAAUAAGCCCCGGCUAACUAUGUGCCAGCAGCCGCGGUAAGACAUAGGGGGCGAGCGUUAUCCGGAAUUAUUGGGCGUAAAGGGUGCGUAGGCUGUUAGAUAAGUCUAUAAUUUAAUUUCAGUGCUUAACGCUGUCUUGUUAUAGAAACUGUCUUGACUAGAGUGAGAUAGAGGCAAGCGGAAUUCCAUGUGUAGCGGUAAAAUGUGUAAAUAUAUGGAGGAACACCAGAAGCGUAGGCGGCUUGCUGGGUCUUUACUGACGCUGAGGCACGAAAGCGUGGGUAGCAAACAGGAUUAGAUACCCCUGGUAGUCCACGCCGUAAACGAUGAGUACUAAGUGUCGGGGUAAAACUCGGUACUGAAGUUAACACAUUAAGUACUCCGCCUGAGUAGUACGUACGCAAGUAUGAAACUUAAAGGAAUUGACGGGACUCCGCACAAGCGGUGGAUCAUGUUGUUUAAUUCGAAGAUACACGAAAAAUCUUACCAGGUCUUGACAUACUCUGCAAAGCUAUAGAGAUAUAGUGGAGGUUAUCAGGGAUACAGGUGGUGCAUGGUUGUCGUCAGUUCGUGUCGUGAGAUGUUAGGUUAAGUCCUAAAACGAGCGCAACCCUUGUCGUUAAUUGCCAGCACGUAAUGGUGGGGACUUUAGCGAGACUGCCAAUUAAACAUUGGAGGAAGGUGAGGAUUACGUCAAAUCAUCA